This is an RNA transcript of Physcomitrium patens, 2009 nucleotides long. RefSeq lists it as uncharacterized. NCBI's taxonomy places the organism in Eukaryota, Viridiplantae, Streptophyta, Bryopsida, Funariales, Funariaceae. The record is from RefSeq and is a predicted model, not a curated record.
ACGCACCCCGGCGCGCCUUCGACGUCGACGAUGGCCGAACACACUGGCAGUGCGUUCCCGAGACCCGGUGUGCUAAAUUAAGCACCAUGCAUCGGUCAAACGAAGCUCGGACCGUAGUCUACUCGUGACUCGGGGCGGCACCACCCGCCGUUCGUCCAAGGCCUUUGCUUAGCGUCGUAGACUAGCGCCUCUGGCUGACUGUCUCCAUGUGUGUUUGUGUGUCCGUACAAUGUCGUGUUGGACGUCGGGACCACGCCUCCGCUGGUGCGCGCGGGCGGGUGAUUCUGAGUCCUCGCGCGAGUAGGUAGACGGAUGUGUAGUUGCAGGAGUGAGCUGCGCGUGCUGCUGGCUUGAGUUGGUCGAUGUGGAGGAGUGUAGAGUUGUCCUCAAUGGUGCGGCAAUCGUGGCAUGCGGGUUGUUUCCCGCUUCAUUCUUCCCGCUUAAUUAUUGUUGCUGUUUUUUUGUAAUUGGCGGAGUGAUCUGGGGCGUGUUGUUGAGUGCUGGGGCGGAAAGUUUGUUGAUAGGGUUAGGAUUGUGAAGGAGGGCUGGGGAGUGGAGUGAAGAGCUUUCGUUGAGGUUGGGGUGGUGAAAAUGGAAGACCAGCCGCAGUCAAAGCGGAGGAGGAGACCGAGUGUGAGGUUAGGGGAAAUUGGAUUCGCAGCACCUUACAAUGCCUCGGCGCUGUGGACGGAAGCACCGAAGCACCGCAAGAAGCAAGCAGGAGCGGGGACGUCGUCAUCGGCAGAAAGGGGGCUGAGUGCUGGAAAGGCGAUUAAUGGCGUGAAGCCGCCUCGUAUUCGGCCUUUGGAGCAUGUUGCGGGCGACAAAGCGGCAAUAGAGGAAGAGUGGAGCGUAGUCGAGCCCGCGGCAGCGUCGGCGGAUGAAGCGAAGGUGGCGCAGACGGUCACUGGAGAUGGUGCGGCCCCUGUGAGCACGCUCAUCGAGGAGCAGCAGGCAAAGCGGCGAAGGGGGUUCGUAUCGAAGGCUAACGGUAAAGUUCGAGGGAAGGGGCCUGGAGGAGCUCGGUCGGGAUGGGCAUCGACAGGGAAGCAGGAUGAAGCUACCAUAUCCGAGCUUCCAGUGGACACAGAUUUGCUCGAAACCAGGGAGGGCGAGGAGAAAGAAAAGGAGAGUCUUCCUUUACAAGCAGACGACGAAGCGCCAUUUUUGGCCGAAAUCUCAUCAGGUUCCGAGGAGCUAAUGGGAAGUGAACUGAAAGGAAACGAGGAGCUGCCAGCUGAUGAUUCUGGAAAUGGAGCUUCUGAUGGCAGCGAGGAACACGAUACUCACGCUAACCCUAAUAGUCAUGGCGAUGAAAUGCAAGGCGCAAUCGAAGACGGUCCAGGACAAGCAAACGGAAAUGGCUUUAUUACAGUGAAGCAGCGUGGAGGAGAGCGAAGAUCAGGCAGGCAAACUGCAAGAGGAGUCAUCGCCUGUAGAGACAUUGUAAGUAGAGACACCGUGAGCAGAGACACUUCAGGAGAGCCCAGUGGACGCUUUCAAGCAGCAACAGCUGCACCAAACGGAACCACCAUCAUUACUCCGAGCUCCAGCCAAAGAGUUUCGCUCUCCUCGGGCGUUAGUGGAUGGUUGCAAGAGUUUGGCCUGAGCAAAUACGCCGAAUUGUUUGAGCUCAACGAAGUCGAUACUGAAGUGCUCCCCCUUUUGACCAUGGACGACCUGCGAGAAAUGGGAGUAGACGCUGUGGGUGCUCGGCGUAAGAUGUUCACUGCUAUUCAAGAGCUAGGGCAACUUCGAGGCAUUUAAUUGAGGAAUUUAGGAAGGUUUCAUCUUUUCUCUAAAAGUGUGCACUAGGCAGAGCAGAGGACAGGGCGAGCUAUGUUAUGAAGGUUUCAGGAAUCAGCUUUGGGCAUUGCAGCAUGGAUAUACAAUUUGACUGCUUUGGAGGACUGGAUGCACACUGAGAUGCAUUGAAUUGGGCUCGGAGACAAAGAAUCAACUGUACACUCCACCAGUUAAUUAUGUCCAUGAUUGCCUAUUCUAUUGAA